GACGAACGCUGGCGGCGUGCUUAACACAUGCAAGUCGAACGGAAAGGCCCUGCUUUUGUGGGGUUCUCGAGUGGCGAACGGGUGAGUAACACGUGAGUAACCUGCCCUUGAGUUGGGGAUAACUUCAGGAAACUGGGGCUAAUACCUGAUAGGAGCUCCUGCUGCAUGGUGGUGGUUGGAAAUUUUCGGCGGUUGGGGAUGGACUCGCGGCUUAUCAGCUUGUUGGUGGGGUAGUGGCUUACCAAGGCUUUGACGGGUAGCCGGCAUGGGAGGGUGACCGGCGACAUGGGGACUGAGAUACGCCCCAGACUCCUACGGGAGGCAGCAGUGGGGAAUAUUGCACAAUGGGCGGAAGCCUGAUGCAGAAACGCCGCGUGCGGGAUGAAGGCCUUCGGGUGGUAAACCGCUUUCGCCUGUGACGAAGCGUGAGUGACGGUAAUGGGUAAAGAAGCACCGGCUAACUACGUG
Molecule: ribosomal RNA, 468 nt
Filed under: uncultured bacterium
Lineage: Bacteria
Description: partial 16S ribosomal RNA
Rfam family: Bacterial small subunit ribosomal RNA
Source: RNAcentral